Molecule: small RNA, 426 nt
Filed under: Histoplasma capsulatum var. duboisii H88
Lineage: Eukaryota; Fungi; Ascomycota; Eurotiomycetes; Onygenales; Ajellomycetaceae
Description: Histoplasma capsulatum H88 hypothetical RNA
Source: RNAcentral
ACAUAUCAAAACACUCAAGAUCAGUGAUCUGAGAAAAGAGGAUACUAGACAGGUGGACGAAUUGGUGAAAGUGGCAGGAUGGGAGACCAGCCCAUCAGCAGAUGAAAGUGUCGCACACUUGCUAUCUCAAUUGAGCAACCUUAAGUCAUUUUGCCUUAACCGCCUUUGUGGUGAGGUGCAUCUAACCACCUUUAACUUUGCCACGCUGCCAACCCUGACCAGACUCAAAGUGCCGGCGGAAUCCCUAGUAUCGCGUCCAUCACCUCUAAUCCAUCAUCUGCCUCCCACAUUGGAAUGUCUUUAUGUGAAAGAGGCGAACGAUGAAGUGAAUGAAGACACCUUGCCUCAAUUGCUGAUAGACUAUAUCACCGCAGCUUCAUCAAGGUUAAAGCUGGUAUCCAUUCAAUCAUAUGCUGAAUAUUGGAA